GCGCUGGCGGCAGGCCUAACACAUGCAAGUCGAGCGGUAACAGAAAGAAAGCUUGCCUUCUUUGCUGACGAGCGGCGGACGGGUGAGUAAUGCCUGGGAAUAUGCCUUAGUGUGGGGGAUAACUAUUGGAAACGAUAGCUAAUACCGCAUAACGUCUUCGGACCAAAGAGGGGGACCUUCGGGCCUCUCGCGCUAAGAUUAGCCCAGGUGGGAUUAGCUAGUUGGUGAGGUAAAGGCUCACCAAGGCAACGAUCCCUAGCUGGUCUGAGAGGAUGAUCAGCCACACUGGAACUGAGACACGGUCCAGACUCCUACGGGAGGCAGCAGUGGGGAAUAUUGCACAAUGGGGGAAACCCUGAUGCAGCCAUGCCGCGUGUAUGAAGAAGGCCUUCGGGUUGUAAAGUACUUUCAGUCGUGAGGAAGGCAUUGUAGUUAAUAGCUGCAGUGCUUGACGUUAGCGACAGAAGAAGCACCGGCUAACUCCGUG
RNAcentral lists this ribosomal RNA (487 nucleotides) under uncultured bacterium. Its description in RNAcentral is "bacterial SSU rRNA". It matches the Rfam family "Bacterial small subunit ribosomal RNA", at positions 34 to 507 of the family's 1533-position model. The record is from RNAcentral.